Molecule: non-coding RNA, 191 nt
Organism: Sus scrofa (pig)
Lineage: Eukaryota; Metazoa; Chordata; Mammalia; Artiodactyla; Suidae
Source: RefSeq, a predicted model, not a curated record
GCUCACCGGAACCCUUUGCUGUGUGGUCCUUUUUCUCUGGGAAGUAGAGCCUGCAGAUGCUGGAGUCUCCCAGGCACCCAGACACGAGGUGACAGAAGUGGGACAAUCAGUAACUCUGAGAUGUCAGCCGAUUUCAGAUCCAGCCCACAGGACCCAGAGAUUCAGCCACCUACGUCUGUGCCAGCAGUGUU